AGAGUUACUACUCCAAACCCAUUGUGAACCUUACCUAUGUUCUGUUGCCUCGGCGGGGCGGUCGGCGCCCCCUCUCCGCGAGGAGGGGAGACGAUGGACCCCCCGCCGGCAGCACCAAACUCUUGAAUUUUAUAGCGGAUUACAAGCUCUGAUUGGAAAACAAAAAAACAAAUCAA
RNAcentral lists this unclassified non-coding RNA (176 nucleotides) under Scedosporium aurantiacum. RNAcentral describes it as "internal transcribed 1". Lineage: Eukaryota; Fungi; Ascomycota; Sordariomycetes; Microascales; Microascaceae. The record is from RNAcentral.